UACGGAGGGUGCAAGCGUUGUUCGGAAUUACUGGGCGUAAAGCGCGUGUAGGCGGCGUCCUAAGUCCGAUGUGAAAGCCCGGGGCUUACCCCCGGAAGUGCAUCGGAUACUGGGAGGCUAGAGUACCGGAGAGGAGGGUGGAAUUCCUGGUGUAGCGGUGAAAUGCGUAGAUAUCAGGAGGAACACCGGUGGCGAAGGCGGCCCUCUGGACGGAUACUGACGCUGAGACGCGAAAGCGUGGGGAGCAAACAGG
RNAcentral lists this ribosomal RNA (253 nucleotides) under uncultured bacterium. RNAcentral describes it as "partial 16S ribosomal RNA". It matches the Rfam family "Bacterial small subunit ribosomal RNA", at positions 524 to 776 of the family's 1533-position model. The record is from RNAcentral.